This is a non-coding RNA of Triticum aestivum (bread wheat), 125 nucleotides long. Lineage: Eukaryota; Viridiplantae; Streptophyta; Magnoliopsida; Poales; Poaceae. The record is from Rfam.
CAACUACUCCCUCCGUCACAAAUUACUUGUCGGAGAAAUUGAUGUAUCUAGACGUAUUUUAAUUCUAGAUACAUCUAUUUUUAUCCAUUUCUGCGACAAGUAAUUUUGGACGGAGGGAGUAGUUU